CCGAACCGACUAAUGUUGAAAAAUUAGCGGAUGACCUGUGGCUGGGGGUGAAAGGCCAAUCAAACCGGGAGAUAGCUGGUUCUCCCCGAAAGCUAUUUAGGUAGCGCCUCGUGAAUUCAUCUCCGGGGGUAGAGCACUGUUUCGGCUAGGGGGCCAUCCCGGCUUACCAACCCGAUGCAAACUGCGAAUACCGGAGAAUGUUAUCACGGGAGACACACGGCGGGUGCUAACGUCCGUCGUGAAGAGGGAAACAACCCAGACCGCCAGCUAAGGUCCCAAAGUCAUGGUUAAGUGGGAAACGAUGUGGGAAGGCCCAGACAGCCAGGAUGUUGGCUUAGAAGCAGCCAUCAUUUAAAGAAAGCGUAAUAGCUCACUGGUCGAGUCGGCCUGCGCGGAAGAUGUAACGGGGCUAAACCAUGCACCGAAGCUGC
RNAcentral lists this ribosomal RNA (431 nucleotides) under Salmonella enterica. Its description in RNAcentral is "partial 23S ribosomal RNA". It matches the Rfam family "Bacterial large subunit ribosomal RNA", at positions 774 to 1203 of the family's 2925-position model. RNAcentral also lists the same sequence under 1 other name. Lineage: Bacteria; Pseudomonadati; Pseudomonadota; Gammaproteobacteria; Enterobacterales; Enterobacteriaceae. The record is from RNAcentral.